GAUGAACGCUAGCGGCAGGCUUAAUACAUGCAAGUCGAGGGGCAGCAGUCCCGUAGCAAUACGGGAGCUGGCGACCGGCAAACGGGUGCGGAACACGUACGCAACUUUCCUUCAAGUGAGGAAUAGCCCAGGGAAACUUGGAUUAAUACCUCGUAAUAUUAUGAAGUGGCAUCACUUUAUAAUUAUAGCUCCGGCGCUUGAAGAUGGGCGUGCGCCUGANAGGUAGUUGGCGGGGUAACGGCCCACCAAGCCUACGAUCAGUAACUGGUGUGAGAGCACGACCAGUCACACGGGCACUGAGACACGGGCCCGACUCCUACGGGAGGCAGCAGUAAGGAAUAUUGGGCAAUGGACGCAAGUCUGACCAGCCAUGCCGCGUGGAGGAUGAAGGUCCUCUGGAUU
Molecule: ribosomal RNA, 402 nt
Filed under: uncultured bacterium
Lineage: Bacteria
Description: bacterial SSU rRNA
Rfam family: Bacterial small subunit ribosomal RNA
Source: RNAcentral